UGUAUUAUUUUUAACGCUAAAAUUUUUCUUAAUCAGUUGCAAGCUCAUAGAGGCACGACUUUGGUUCACUUCUCCCCCAUCAGGCCAAACAUAAUGCCUCAGUAUCACAGGUCAUUUACUGAAUGAGAUAGCUUUGUUUUCUUCCCCUGAUUCUCUAAUGAGCGAUAUUAUGGUGCAAUGGUUUUUUAAUUCUGGCUCCCAUUGUAAGAAGCAACUGCAACAACUUUUUCUACAAACCUCACCAUUAGAUAUAGCAGUUUUGAUGUGCAACUUCUGAAACCAAACCAGGAAAAGACAUUAUGUAUUGAUGUUAGAAACCCACAAAUGCUUGUUUUAAAUACUUUCCACUGUUUAUUUUUUUCUAAUUCAUCAAAUGAAAUCUUUCCAUGUUUUAGCUCUAGGAGAGAUUAAGCACAUUCAAUCUAAUUAUGCAACCUCCUGGCAAAAGCAGUCUCAAUGUGAAACACUGUGCUGGUUGUAUUUCACAGUUGCUAAUGGAAACAGAGACAAGUUUGGAAAACUGCAAAGUCAAGUCUGAGCCUUGGCAUUAUCAUGCCUCUGAGGAAAGGCAUUUCCUGGGUCUGUUCUUUCUUUCCUUCACUCUCUGUAUGCAUGCUGUAUGCGUCCCGUCAGGCUCUACAAAUAACUGAAAAUGGUCACAUGAAGGCUCUCGUGUGUAUUAUCUGAUUGGAAAGUCUUUACAGCUCACUGACAGCAGUGAAGGCAGUGAGGGGCUGUGGUGUGAUCCAGGAGGCUGAGAAUUAUGCAGUGGGUGCUGUCACCUUGAAGACAUCAGCGUGAUCAGGCAGAUCAUCAUGGUACUGCAUUUCCUGGACACGAUCUUAAUUUUCUUAAUACCUCCACCGACAUUUCAAAUAGCGUCUCUAAUGCCCCAGAGACUUUUAUGCCCCUAAGGUAGUUUUCUUUCUUUUGUGAAGCAGAAGAAGGGAAAUUGUUAAAGGGAAUAUUUUAACUAAAUUUAUUUCCAUAAAACUAUCUUUGUCUUUAUAUCUCAUGGAAAGUGUUAGGUAGCCUCAGGAUUAUAUCUCCGUUGGAAAACUGUAGAUGUAAACCUUCUUGCUAUCUACAUACUUACAUAUUUUUCUGUUGUUAUUUACUUAUGAAUAGCAUUUUGAUUAUAGCAGAAAUAAAAUACAUUAAAUGACUAAGCUCAGAAAUAAGAAAAAAAGGUCAAUGGUGAUCAUUUAUUUGGAAACUAUGAUAUUUUAAUGAUAUUAAUGGUGUAAUUGACAUUUAGUUAAACAUAUUUCAUCGUAAGUAGAGCACUUUAACUCUUACGGUCCACUUAAAAUGUAAUCAUACGUUUAUGUAUUUCUAGUUAAUGUAUCAAACUCAACUGAGUAAUCAAUGUACAUCAUUUAUUUUGCUCCUAAGUUAAUACACUAAGUUAUGCUUUAAAAUUACUAAUUUGCUGCAAUAUCCAAUACUCUCUUUUAAGUCUUACGUCUGCAGAAAAGGAUAUAAACAUUUCAUGACACCAAACCCAAGUAUUUUUGAUGCCCUUGGCAGUGUCAGUUGAACAGACAGUGUCAUUUAAUGUUUGAGACAGCAUCUGAAUUCCUUUUAUUCUUAAAAUUCUAUUUUAAAAUGCAGUUUUUGGAAAGUUAAUGUGAAUAGAAAAAUUUCUAACAUUUUAUGUGCAUGUGUUUUGUUUGUUACAGGCUUAGCAUCUCAAAUCUGAAAAUUCGAAAUCUGAAAUGUUUCUAAAAUUCAACUCUUUUGAGUGCUGAUAUGACUUUCAAAGGAAAAGCUCAUUGGAGCAUUUCAGAUUUUGGAUUUUUGGAUUUGGGAUGUUUAACCAGGGUAAAAUAUAGAAUGCAAAUAUUCCAAAAUCUGAAUAAAAUUGAAAUCUGAAAUGCUUAUGGUUCCAAGCAUUUUGGAUAAGGGAUAAUUAAGCUGUAUAACUUAUAAAACUGAAUAUAACAAAAUUUCCCAACAUGUGGAAAAUGAUGUCUUUUUUCAAAAAUGUCAAUAGCAGAUACAUGGUACAGUAAGUUAGGGGAAAAAAUGAGGUUUCAUAUCUUCUAGUUUCCUAAUUAAAAGGAGCCCAUUCUGGGUUGGAAGAAAGUGUCAGUAAGAUCAUUUCUCCUAUUUGAAAAUCAUACAAAGCUUGUCAGAGUGACUCAGGCCAGGAGUGUAGCUGGGCGUGUAGCUAAAUGAUAUCUCCCCACAUCUAUAUAAUAAGCUGUUACCUGCUUUAAAAGGAAAAGCUCUCAGCAUGACUCUAAUGUUGCAUUUCUGGAAUACAGCUUGAAAAGCUCUUCUCAGGGUUGAACAGAGCAUGAAGGUAAUGGUUAUUAUCUACUCACAUUAAAAAAAAAAAAAAAGAAAGAAACCACCACAGAAAACUACUUACUGUCUUUAGGCUCUACUUUCAAAAGUGCCCUUUAUGAACGCUUUUACACUGUUGAUGGGAGUGUAAAUUAGUUCAACCAUUGUGGAAGACAGUGUGGUGAUUCCUCAAGGAUCUAGAAUCAGAAAUACCAUUUGACCCAGCAAUCCCAUUACUGGGUAUAUACCCAAAGGAUUAUAAAUCAUUCUAUUAUAAAGACACAUGCACACGUAUGUUUAUUGCAGCACUGUUCACAAUAGCAAAGACUUGGAACCAACCCAAAUGCCCAUCAAUGAUAGACUGGAUAAAGAAAUUGUGGCACAUACACACCAUGGAAUACUAUGCAGCCAUAAUAAAAGAUGAGUUCAUGUCCUUUGCAAGGACAUGGACAAAGCUGGAAACCAUCAUUCUCAGCAAACAAGAACAGAAAAUCAAACACUGCAUGUUCUCAGUCUAAGUGGGAGCUGAACAAUGAGAAAACAUGGACACAGAGAGGGGAACAUCACACACUGGGCCUGUUGGGGGGUAGGGGGCUAGGGGAGGGAUAGCAUUAGGAGAAAUACCUAAUGUAAAUGACAGGUUAAUGGGUGCAGCAAACCACCAUGGCAUGUGUAUACCUAUGUAACAAACCUGCAUGUUCUGCACAUGUAUCCCAGAACUUAAAGUAUAAAUAAAUAAAUGAAUAAAUAAAUAAAUUUUAAAAAGU
RNAcentral lists this long non-coding RNA (3059 nucleotides) under Homo sapiens (human). Its description in RNAcentral is "HSALNT0315490". Lineage: Eukaryota; Metazoa; Chordata; Mammalia; Primates; Hominidae. The record is from RNAcentral.